CAUUGCCAUCGUAACAGCCAAGUGCUGAGUUUAAGCUCUGAUCCGUGAAGUCAAAAGCAUCAGUUAACAAGAUGGCAUCCUUCCUGUGAGAGAAAACAAGAGUUUGUACUGUGGGAUCAUACCAAUGGUUUUACAAACUGCUUCUUUUUUUCCUCUUAAUGCUAAAAGGACUCAUGAUCCUGACAAAGAAGAAGAGAAACAAAAUACAACAGUUGGGCCCAAACGUGGAACGAACACUCUGCUUUUGUGACUCGGGAACUCCGAGAGGGCCCACAUGGCACUCUGCAGAAGCAUCAGGAAGCACACAGAAUAAUUUGGGCCAUCUGUUUUCUCCUGGAAACAAGCGGUGGGCUGGAUUCUCUGAGGAAUUCUCAUGGCAUGUUUGGACCAGAACAGUCUGCUCAGAAAAGAGAGAAGGUCCCUGCCUGGGGCUCUGAGGUGUUGGAGGUGGGACCAGGCUACCUCCCCAAGCAGUGAAGCCUGGCUGCUGGGAAGAAGGCAGAACCCAGAACAUUGCUGCUGUCCUGCAGCCAGGGAUCGCUGCGUAGAGCCCAGCUGUGGCCCUACCUGCCCAGCAUCCACAUCCCAGUCCUCUGGCUCUCUUGGGAAAACUGUCCUGUACUCUCAGACCAGGUAGUUCUUGGGACUCACCUCAGUCUCCCAGGUCUGGACAAAUAGAGCAUACUGUGCCCCUGGUCACAGUGAUUGAGCCUGGUAUGGUCAUGUGACCCAGGCCAGCCAAUGAAACUCAGUCUUGGGCCUUUUGCAGGGAUAAUUUGGGUGGGAGAAAGCUGUCUUCCCAGUGGGGUGCCAGCCUGGGCUAAUAUGCCAGCCAACCAGUGGCCUCCCUCCUUUACAUGAAGCAGCCCAUUCUCGUGUCCCAAAAACUGAAUCUAACAGAGGAGAACAGAACUAAAGAUGGUAUGAAAGGGACCCUUGAUGAUGUGGUUUGAACCCCUGGAUCCAGCUGGUCCUGAAGCCCACUGUCUCUGGCCUUUUGUAUAUAUGAACCACUAAGUUCCGUGUUUUGCCUGAGUUGGAGUUUGGUUCAGAAACCU
This is a long non-coding RNA of Neofelis nebulosa (Clouded leopard), 1058 nucleotides long. RefSeq lists it as uncharacterized. The record is from RefSeq and is a predicted model, not a curated record. The transcript has 3 exons. Lineage: Eukaryota; Metazoa; Chordata; Mammalia; Carnivora; Felidae.